Molecule: ribosomal RNA, 263 nt
Filed under: uncultured archaeon
Lineage: Archaea
Description: partial 16S ribosomal RNA
Rfam family: Archaeal small subunit ribosomal RNA
Source: RNAcentral
ACGUCUACAUUAGAUACCCCGGUAGUCCUAGCCGUAAACGAUACUCGCUAGGUGUCGGCCACGGUGCGACCGUUGUCGGUGCCGUAGGGAAGCCGUGAAGCGAGCCACCUGGGAAGUACGGCCGCAAGGCUGAAACUUAAAGGAAUUGGCGGGGGAGCACAACAACGGGUGGAGCUUGCGGUUUAAUUGGAUUCAACGCCGGAAAUCUUACCGGGACCGACAGCAACAUGAAGGCCAAGCUGAAGACUUUGCCGGAUUAGCUG